CCUACGGGAGGCAGCAGUGAGGAAUAUUGGUCAAUGGGCGAGAGCCUGAACCAGCCAAGCAGCGUGAAGGAUGACUGCCCUAGGGGUUGAAAGCUUUUUUCUUAAGGGAAUAAAGUGAGGCAGUUGUGCCUUAUUGUAUGUACUUUAUGUACAAGGAUCGGCUAACUUCGUGCCAGCAGCCGCGGUAAUACGGAGGAUCCGAGCGUUAUCCGGAUUGAUUGGGUUUAAUGGGAGCGUAGGUGGGUUGUUAAGUCAGUUGUGAAAGUUUGCGGCUCAACCGUAAAAUUGCAAUUGAUACUGGCAGCCUUGAGUACAGGUGAGGUAGGCGGAAUUCGUGGUGUAGCGGUGAAAUGCUUAGAUAUCACGAAGAACUCCGAUUGCGAAGGCAGCUUACUAGACUGCCACUGACAUUGAUGCUCGAAAGUGUGGGUAUCAAACAGGAUUAGAUACCCCUGUAGUC
RNAcentral lists this ribosomal RNA (460 nucleotides) under uncultured bacterium. RNAcentral's name for it is "partial 16S ribosomal RNA". It matches the Rfam family "Bacterial small subunit ribosomal RNA", at positions 338 to 795 of the family's 1533-position model. The record is from RNAcentral.